AGGUUAAGCGACUAAGCGUACACGGUGGAUGCCCAGGCAGUCAGAGGCGAUGAAGGACGUGCUAAUCUGCGUAAAGCGACGGUAAGGUGAUAUGAACCGCUACAGCC
RNAcentral lists this ribosomal RNA (107 nucleotides) under Erwinia amylovora. RNAcentral describes it as "partial 23S ribosomal RNA". It matches the Rfam family "Bacterial large subunit ribosomal RNA", at positions 1 to 105 of the family's 2925-position model. The record is from RNAcentral. Lineage: Bacteria; Pseudomonadati; Pseudomonadota; Gammaproteobacteria; Enterobacterales; Erwiniaceae.